UAACCUGCGGAGGGAUCAUUACACAAUAAAAUAUGAAGGCUGUACGCGGCUGUGCUCUCGGGCCAGUUUUGCGGAGGCUGAAUUAUUUAUUACCCUUGUCUUUUGCGCACUUGUUGUUUCCUGGGCGGGUUCGCCCGCCACCAGGACCACAUCAUAAACCUUUUUUAUGCAGUUGCAAUCAGCGUCAGUAUAACAAAUGUAAAUCAUUUACAACUUUCAACAACGGAUCUCUUGGUUCUGGCAUCGAUGAAGAACGCAGCGAAAUGCGAUACGUAGUGUGAAUUGCAGAAUUCAGUGAAUCAUCGAAUCUUUGAACGCACAUUGCGCCCUUUGGUAUUCCAAAGGGCAUGCCUGUUCGAGCGUCAUUUGUACCCUCAAGCUUUGCUUGGUGUUGGGCGUUUUUUGUCUUUGGUUGCCAAAGACUCGCCUUAAAAGGAUUGGCAGCCGGCCUACUGGUUUCGCAGCGCAGCACAUUUUUGCGCUUGCAAUCAGCAAAAGAGGACGGCAAUCCAUCAAGACUCCUUCUCACGUUNGACCUCGGAUCAGGUAGGGAUACCCGCUGAACUUAAGCAUAUCAAUA
This 580-nucleotide ribosomal RNA is filed under the name Curvularia lunata. Its description in RNAcentral is "eukaryotic LSU rRNA". The stretch from base 212 to 365 matches the Rfam family "5.8S ribosomal RNA". Lineage: Eukaryota; Fungi; Ascomycota; Dothideomycetes; Pleosporales; Pleosporaceae. The record is from RNAcentral.